This 1608-nucleotide long non-coding RNA is filed under the name Prunus persica (peach). RNAcentral's name for it is "long non-coding RNA (PPER_LNC005561)". The record is from RNAcentral. Lineage: Eukaryota; Viridiplantae; Streptophyta; Magnoliopsida; Rosales; Rosaceae.
GGCAGUUCAGCCUCCUUUGAAAAUUGAAAAUUAAAAUCUGCAAAAACACCUUUGAAUCUUUCUCUUUCUCUCUCUCUCUCUCUCUCCUCUCUUUGAGUGUGUAUAUAUACCCCUACCACCCACACUAUUGUCCUUACAAAACUCUGCCUCUCUCAAACUAGAUAGCAAGUGCAGAGCCAGAGCUUCUUUCUUCCAAUCUUUUUUCUUUCUUUCUGAAGUCUGAGUUUAAGUGAAGCAGCUAGAAAUGGAGGCAAUGAAGAUGAAUGCUUUUGUGGCUUUGUUGGUGGUUGUGAUGGUGGCCUUGUCUGGCGUUCAAAAAGUAGCUGCAGCUGAUUCUCCAGCACCAAGCCCAGCUUCUGAUGCCUAUGCCUUUGCCCCCACUUUCUUUGCAUCUCUAGCAGCUUUGGCUUUUGGGUUCUUCUUCUGAGCUCAUGACUGCAUUUUAGGUUCAUUUGAUGGUUGCUUGCUCAUUUCUCUCUCUCUCCAUUUCUCCUAAUCUCUCUCUUUACUCACUUGUAUUGAGUGUUUAAUGAGAGGGAGCAAGGGGGACAGAGAGGGAAAGUGGGUUGGGAUUUUCUUUUAUAUUAUUUGGGAAUUUCAGGUUUAAAUUUAAUUAUUUAUUGUUGAUGUUGGGAUUUGUUUGGGUGUGAUUGAUGUGUUUGUUGGUGGUUUUGUAUCAUAUAUGAUGUAUAAUUAAAUGUUAAUUUUGUCUAAUUUUGUUUUUGAUGGGGGAAUAUGCCUAUGGGAUGUUAAAUUUAGGCUAAUAAUAAGGAGAUCAUGGGGAAGAAUGUGAAUGUGAUGUACUGCUGCUUCUUGUACUAGUGGUGGAUAGAUUUUCUCUAUCAUUGUAUCUGUGAUUCAUUGGUUUGGUAGUAAUAAAUUCCAUUAUUCUUCUAUAUAUAUGUAUAUAUUUUCUUGUGUCUGUAAUAUUUCUGAAUGGUUUUUCAGUUUCACCAUAAGAAAAUAGAAAAGGAUUAUAUAGAAAGAGGAAAAUAUGAAGGGUUGUUGGCAAGAGUUGUAGCUAGCCAGCUUGGCAGAUUCUAAUCCCCUUGUAAUGUAAUGAUGAAGGGCAUUGGUUGGUUCUGGUUCUCUCUCUCUCUCUCUCUCUCUCUCUCUCCUCUCCCUUGGUAGCAUCCUAGCAUCAUGGACAGGUAUUCCUGUGAUCAAGAUUCAAGAGGAGGCUUGAAGUCCCUCUACCUAAACCAUGUACUUUGGUCACUUACCAAGAAAAACAAAACCAAUCGAUAAAAAAACAAAAGAAAAGACAAAAUUAAAAAACCAAAUACUUUGAUCCUGGGAAAAAUCAAGUUUGUGUGGGUAGCCUUGCUUUUGGAGAACAGCCUCAGAUAUUUUGUAUUGUUGUGUUCCAAAUGAAAUUCUUCGUAUCCAUGAAUGAAUAAAAUGACUUGAUGCCUAAAAUAUCUAUAUCUUUUGUACAAUAAUUUCUUGUAUUGUAUGCGUGUUUUGUCUUCAAUACAAAGGAUAUUGUAAAUUUCGAAGGAGGAAAUCGAACUCGGAUGCAAAGCAAUGAAACACAACUAAACUAAUUGAUGUCUGCAACUGCAACUUAUUGUAGUGUAUGUACGUAUCAUUGACAAGUAGGGUUGG